RNAcentral lists this small RNA (125 nucleotides) under Marmota monax (woodchuck). The record is from RNAcentral. Lineage: Eukaryota; Metazoa; Chordata; Mammalia; Rodentia; Sciuridae.
GCUGGGUGUGGUGACCCAUGCCUGUAAUCCCAGUGGCUCUGGAAGCUGAGGCAGGAGGACUGGGAGUUCAAAGCCAGCCUCGGUAAUGGCAAGGUGCUAAGCAAUUUAGUGAGACCCUGUCUCAA